RNAcentral lists this ribosomal RNA (492 nucleotides) under uncultured bacterium. Its description in RNAcentral is "partial 16S ribosomal RNA". It matches the Rfam family "Bacterial small subunit ribosomal RNA", at positions 29 to 507 of the family's 1533-position model. The record is from RNAcentral.
AGUGAACGCUGGCGGUAGGCCUAACACAUGCAAGUCGAACGGCCGCACAGUAAGAGCUUUCUCUUACGGGUGGCGCGUGGCGGACGGUUGGUGAAUACCUCCGAAUCUACUUUUUCUUGGGGGAUAACGUAGGGACACUUACGCUAAUCCCGCAUCCGACCUACGUGUGAAAGCACGGGAUCUUCGGCCCUUGCGCGAUUCAAUGAGCCGAUGUCGGAUUAGCUAGUUGGCGGGGUAAAGGCCCACCAAGGCGACGAUCCGUAGCUGGUCUGAGAGGAUGAUCAGCAACACUGGAACUGAGACACGGUCCAGACUACUACGGGAGGCAGCAGUGGGGAAUAUUGGACAAUGGGCGCAAGCCUGAUCCAGCCAUACCGCGUGGGUGAAGAAGGCCUUCGGGUUGUAAAGCACUUUUGUUGGGAAAGAAAAGCAGCAGGUUAAUACCCCGCUGUUCUGACGGUACCCAAAGAAUAAGCACCGGCUAACUUCGUG